RNAcentral lists this non-coding RNA (721 nucleotides) under Augilodes binghami. Lineage: Eukaryota; Metazoa; Arthropoda; Insecta; Hemiptera; Caliscelidae. The record is from RNAcentral.
UCUAAAUUAGCUAAAAGAUUUUUUUGCAUGUAACUUUAUUGAAGAAUAAAAAUUUCUAAAAGAUUUAAAUUUUAUUUUCAGUGAUUAAUAUUUAUUAAAAUUAUUAAUAUAAUUUGAUAAAUUUUUUUAAAAUCAGUAAAAUGUUAUGCCAGCAUUCGCGGUUAUAUUUCAUGAUUGAGUUAAUUAACUUAUUUGAAUUCAAAUAAUUUUUUAAAAUUUUUUUAAUUUAGGUAAAAUUUAUUAAUAAUUUAAUUAUUUUUUUGAUUAAUCUAUUUUUUAAACCAGGAUUAGAUACCCUGUUAUUUUAGACAAAUCAGUUUUUGGAUAGUAGUUAUUUAAAAAAUGAAACUUAAACAAUUUGGCGGUUUUUAAAUCUUUUUAGAGGAACCUGUAACUUAAAUGAUAAUCCACGAUUAAUUUUACCAAAUUUUUUUUUGUAUAUCUCUGUCGUUGAUUAUAAUGAAAAUUAAUUUUCUGGUUUUAUCUUUAAAUUUAUGUUAGGUCAAGGUGCAAUUAUAAUUUGGUUUUUAUGGGUUACAAUAAAAUUUUAUAGAAAAAUUUGGAUUUUAGAAUUUGGUGUUUAAAUGAAUUUGGAUUUAAAAGUAAAUAAUUUUUUUAAACUUUUUGAAUUAAGUUCUUAUUAAUGUACAUAUCGCCCGUCAUUCCCGAAAAUUGGGACAAGUCGUAACAAAGUAGAUGUACUGGAAAGUGUAUCUAGAAA